RNAcentral lists this ribosomal RNA (1262 nucleotides) under metagenome. RNAcentral describes it as "bacterial LSU rRNA". It matches the Rfam family "Bacterial large subunit ribosomal RNA", at positions 1628 to 2925 of the family's 2925-position model. The record is from RNAcentral.
AAGGUUAAAGCGGCCCGUACCGUAAUCCGACACAGGUGGACGAGAUGAAUAUUCUAAGGCGCUCGGGUGAGCCAUGGAGAAGGAACUAGGCAAAUUGACGCUGUAACUUCGGGAUAAAGCGUACCACCUUCGGGUGGUCUCAGUAAAAUGGUUCAACCAACUGUUUAACAAAAACACAGGGCCCUGCAAAAUCGAAAGAUGACGUAUAGAGCCUGAUACCUGCCCGGUGCCGGAAGGUUAAGGAAGGAUGUUCGGAGCAAUCCAAAGCUUCUGACUGAAGCCCCGGUAAACGGCGGCCGUAACAAUAACGGUCCUAAGGUAGCGAAAUUCCUUGUCGGGUAAGUUCCGACCUGCACGAAUGGUCUAAUGAGUUGAACGCUGUCUCCUCCAUGAGCCCGGUGAAAUUGUAGUAUCGGUGAAGAUGCCGGUUACCCGCCACGGGACGGAAAGACCCCGUGAACCUUCACUACAACUUUGCAUUGAUUUUGAGCAAACGAUGUGUAGAAUAGUUGGGACGCUUUGAAGCGGUGCCGCCAGGUAUCGUGGAGCGGUCGUUGAAAUACCAACCUUCGUUUGCUUAGAGUCUAACCCCUUGCGGGGGACAUUGCAUGGUGGGUAGUUUGACUGGGGUGGUCGCCUCCUAAAGAGUAACGGAGGCUCGCAAAGGUACCCUCAGUACGGUUGGUAAUCGUACGAAGAGCGCAUUAGUAUAAGGGUGCUUGACUGUGAGGCAUACAUGCCGAGCAGGAGCGAAAGCUGGCUAAAGUGAUCCGGCGGUUCUGUAUGGAAGGGCCGUCGCUCAAAGGAUAAAAGGUACUCCGGGGAUAACAGGCUGAUCUCCCCCAAGAGCUCAUAUCGACGGGGAGGCUUGGCACCUCGAUGUCGGUUCGUCACAUCCUGGGGCUGGAGAAGGUCCCAAGGGUUCGGCUGUUCGCCGAUUAAAGUGGCACGUGAACUGGGUUCAGAACGUCGCAAGACAGUUCGGUCCCUAUCUGUGGUGGGCGCUAGUAAAUUGAGUGGACAUGACCUUAGUACGAGAGGACCGGGUCGUACGUGCCGCUGGUGUAUCUGUUGUGCCGCCAGGUGCAAUGCAGAGUAGCUACGCACGGCAAGGAUAAACGCUGAAAGCAUCUAAGCGUGAAACCUUCCACAAGAUGAGUUUACUUUUAAGGGUCGUCAGAGACUAUGACGUUGAUAGGCUACAGAUGUAAAACUAGUGAUAGUAAAGUCGAGUAGUACUAAUUGCCCGUAAGCUUUAAUUG